Long non-coding RNA from Cebus imitator (Panamanian white-faced capuchin), 387 nucleotides. RefSeq lists it as uncharacterized. The record is from RefSeq and is a predicted model, not a curated record. The transcript is spliced from 2 exons. Lineage: Eukaryota; Metazoa; Chordata; Mammalia; Primates; Cebidae.
CUGUGGGGUCUGCAGGAUAUCGCCCAUGGGAGACGCUGGGGAACCUGAGAGGAAGCUGAGGGGGGAGAAGGCCCAGGUGCAUUGGGUCCGCUCCUGAAUUCUGGACUCACAUUUCCAACAUCUCUACUUGAAGGUCUCAUGAGGAGCUUGAACACAAGGAACAUCAAACUCAAUGGCUAGAACUUAUCUAGACCUCCUUCUUACAUUCCUAUCAUCACCAGCUGACCUCUUCAUCAGAAGACUGGCAAAUGAUCACUCUACUGUAGCACCAGCUGAGACAGUUGAUAUAUUCUGUACUUAGAUUCCUUAUCAUAUUUACUGGUGUAUGUAUCUGCCUUUCCACCUAGAACAUGCACUAUAUGACAGGAAAAACAUUUUUUAAAAAGA